Molecule: ribosomal RNA, 351 nt
Filed under: uncultured Eubacteriales bacterium
Lineage: Bacteria; Bacillati; Bacillota; Clostridia; Eubacteriales
Description: bacterial SSU rRNA
Rfam family: Bacterial small subunit ribosomal RNA
Source: RNAcentral
AGAGUUUGAUCAUGGCUCGAGGACGAACGCUGGCGGCGUGCCUAACACAUGCAAGUCGAGCGGGGAUUAUGCUGGAAGGUUUUCGGACCGGAAGGUAUGAUUCUAGCGGCGGACGGGUGAGUAACGCGUGAGCAACCUGCCUUCAACAGGGGGAUAACGCAUCGAAAGAUGUGCUAAUACCGCGUAAGACCAGAGUACCGCAUGGUACAGGGGUCAAAGGAGCAAUCCGGUUGGAGAUGGGCUCGCGUCCGAUUAGCUAGUUGGUGAGACAACAGCCCACCAAGGCGACGAUCGGUAGCCGACCUGAGAGGGUGAUCGGCCACAUUGGAACUGAGAUACGGUCCAGACUCC